GUUGUACUGAGUGCUGAGGAGGGGGCACUGGGUGGCUUCCCUGAGCAAGCUGGUUGCUGAGCUGCACAGGCCCUUGCAUUUUCUGGGCUGUUCCCGUGUUUCAUUCCUCCCCUUCCUGGACAGUAUUUGAACAAGACGUAUUUUACUAAAGAACUCGUGGAUUGCGGGGUCCCACGACAUCACCUCAUAGAUGCAGUCGAUGGUUUGUUCCAGAUUCAGGCUUGUUUCCCGGAAGAAACCCUGACAGAAGUUCAGAAGAACGGGAGCUGCAUUCUGUGAGGACGUGAAUACAUGAAAUGCUCGUCUCAUGACCUUCUAGAAGAAUGAGCUGGGACCCACUUUCCGAGUCCUGCUGGAACCAGAGACCGAGGAAUAGGAUGCAGAACUUUCCUGAAGGUUUCAGAUGAAGCCCCAGAGCUCAGGAGGACUAAACAUGUGUCCUCUUCCCUGGCCAGAGGCAGUGAGGUCACUGCUACGACGCCCAACAGGGAACCUGAAGCAGAGAGGGAUUCAGGAGCAGACCAGUUACUGCUUGGCUCCCACAAAUGGUCGCCUUGGAACUCUUUAUGGAUGAAGAGAAAACACCCACCACCACCGUUUCAUAACCCUGCACCGAAUGUGGAGACAAUAACCACCUACCCCCAAAAGGAAACUCCAGCAGGGUACAUGUAUCAAACCUAA
RNAcentral lists this long non-coding RNA (681 nucleotides) under Felis catus (domestic cat). Its description in RNAcentral is "lncRNA (ENSFCAG00000042306.2)". The record is from RNAcentral. Lineage: Eukaryota; Metazoa; Chordata; Mammalia; Carnivora; Felidae.